GAUGAACGCUAGCGGCAGGCUUAAUACAUGCAAGUCGAGGGGCAGCAUGACUGUAGCAAUACAGUUGAUGGCGACCGGCAAACGGGUGCGGAACACGUACAGAACCUUCCUUCGAGCGGGGAAUAGCCCAGAGAAAUUUGGAUUAAUACCCCAUAGUACAUUAGAGUGGCAUCACUUUGAUGUUAAAGAUUUAUCACUUGAAGAUGGCUGUGCGGCUGAUUAGGUAGUUGGCGGGGUAACGGCCCACCAAGCCUGCGAUCGGUAACUGGUGUGAGAGCACGACCAGUCACACGGGCACUGAGACACGGGCCCGACUCCUACGGGAGGCAGCAGUAAGGAUAUUGGUCAAUGGACGAAAGUCUGAACCAGCCAUGCCGCGUGGAGGAUGAAGGUCCUCUGGAUUGUAAACUUCUUUAUAUGGGACGAAAAAAGGGUUUUCUAACUCGUCUGACGGUACCAUAUGAAUAAGCACCGGCUAACU
RNAcentral lists this ribosomal RNA (481 nucleotides) under uncultured bacterium. RNAcentral's name for it is "bacterial SSU rRNA". It matches the Rfam family "Bacterial small subunit ribosomal RNA", at positions 28 to 502 of the family's 1533-position model. The record is from RNAcentral.